This 497-nucleotide ribosomal RNA is filed under the name uncultured bacterium. RNAcentral's name for it is "partial 16S ribosomal RNA". It matches the Rfam family "Bacterial small subunit ribosomal RNA", at positions 28 to 507 of the family's 1533-position model. The record is from RNAcentral.
GAUGAACGCUGGCGGCGUGCCUAAUACAUGCAAGUCGAGCGAACGGACGAGAAGCUUGCUUCUCUGAUGUUAGCGGCGGACGGGUGAGUAACACGUGGAUAACCUACCUAUAAGACUGGGAUAACUUCGGGAAACCGGAGCUAAUACCGGAUAAUAUUUAGAACCGCAUGGUUCAAAAGUGAAAGACGGUGUUGCUGUCACUUAUAGAUGGAUCCGCGCUGCAUUAGCUAGUUGGUAAGGUAACGGCUUACCAAGGCAACGAUGCAUAGCCGACCUGAGAGGGUGAUCGGCCACACUGGAACUGAGACACGGUCCAGACUCCUACGGGAGGCAGCAGUAGGGAAUCUUCCGCAAUGGGCGAAAGCCUGACGGAGCAACGCCGCGUGAGUGAUGAAGGUCUUCGGAUCGUAAAACUCUGUUAUUAGGGAAGAACAUAUGUGUAAGUAACUGUGCACAUCUUGACGGUACCUAAUCAGAAAGCCACGGCUAACUACGUG